UACGUAGGUGGCAAGCGUUGUCCGGAUUUACUGGGUGUAAAGGGGGCGCAGGCGGGAAGCUAAGUUGGAUGUGAAAUACCGGGGCUCAACUCCGGAGCUGCAUCCAAAACUGGUUUUCUUGAGUGGAGUAGAGGUAAGCGGAAUUCCGAGUGUAGCGGUGAAAUGCGUAGAUAUUCGGAGGAACACCAGUGGCGAAGGCGGCUUACUGGGCUCUAACUGACGCUGAGGCCCGAAAGCGUGGGGAGCAAAC
Molecule: ribosomal RNA, 250 nt
Filed under: uncultured prokaryote
Description: partial 16S ribosomal RNA
Rfam family: Bacterial small subunit ribosomal RNA
Source: RNAcentral